RNAcentral lists this long non-coding RNA (339 nucleotides) under Brassica rapa (field mustard). RNAcentral's name for it is "long non-coding RNA (BRAP_LNC002610)". The record is from RNAcentral. Lineage: Eukaryota; Viridiplantae; Streptophyta; Magnoliopsida; Brassicales; Brassicaceae.
AAUAAGUAAAACCCUGAAAAUAAACUAAAAUGAUAUUGAAUUCUAGUCCCCUAAUGUUCUGGAGUCCUUAUAACCGAGAAUCAGUAUAUGUUUGUUUUAAUAUAACAGUAGAACUUGAUCCGCACGUACGUACAGGUGUUCAUUUUCACAUUUUUAUAAAAAAAUUAAUGAAAUUUUUGAACACAUAAAUUAUUUAGAUAUCUUUUAGAUAUUAACAAAUCUAUCCGGACCCGGAAAGAUCCGAGUCAGAACCCCGUCCGAAAAUUUAUAAUAUCCAAAAAAAUUUUAAUUUUAAACUCAAUAAUUCGAUACCUAAAAAACUGAUCCGUACCUGAACCG